Molecule: long non-coding RNA, 704 nt
Organism: Capsella rubella
Lineage: Eukaryota; Viridiplantae; Streptophyta; Magnoliopsida; Brassicales; Brassicaceae
Exons: 3
Source: RefSeq, a predicted model, not a curated record
GUAACUUUCUGUAAAAUAGAAGCAAUAGACUGGAAAUGAUAUCCUUUAUUAAUCGUAAAAAUCUUUUUCGACCCCUUACAAAUGACCCCCCCUUCUCGCUUAUAUACAAACUCAAGACAAUUAAUACCAAACGCGAUCCUAGCUCCAGAAAUCCCGCGAUCUUCAUUAUGGCCUCGUUGACCAAAUAGUUCGCCCGUUACGAUCUCAUCUUGACUGUUCCUUUCGUCUUAGUUCGCGGGCCGAUCGUAAACAGGCCGGAUUCAACUGCGUUACUUUCCUUCUGGGCCUGGACCGUGAAAAGCCCAACUAUCUAUACGGUCUGGCUUAUUUGGACGUCGUGUAGUUGAGUGGUGUCUUUAUGGGUUACUACAAAGCAAAUGGUACUUUUGAACCACUGAACAAACACGACCUCUGACAGCUUCCAGAUUGAUUUGGUGUACAAACAUUCUCAUAGGUAAGAUUUCAGUCUAAACUGAACCUGAUCCGUACCGGAGUUAAUCGAUUCUCUAUGUUCAAUGGAACAACACCUGCUGCAGUAAUUGUGAACAUUAGGCAGGUGGUCAGUUUUUUCUAAGUUAAUGAUAAUGAAUACAUGUACAAACUUGCAGAUCGUACCUUCAUGGUCGUUACGGUUUCUCUGAUGUGUAGGAGUAGUAGAAGUCACAAUUUUAACUGUGUUGAAAUUAGUGAGGUCUAUAUAGAUC